Molecule: unclassified non-coding RNA, 325 nt
Filed under: Hevea brasiliensis (rubber tree)
Lineage: Eukaryota; Viridiplantae; Streptophyta; Magnoliopsida; Malpighiales; Euphorbiaceae
Source: RNAcentral
UGUGCAUUGUGACUGGUAAGUUAUUCAAUCUUUUACAUCUAUAACUUUAUGGAAUUUUUAGUUGUAAAAUUAUUUGACAUUUCUAUAUUUCAUUGAUGUUGUUAGGGAGUUGUUUCUGUUGUUUCCUGUCUUUGCUCUAAUACUCUCCCUACCGUUUACUAUCUUCUACCUUUAUUAGAUAUUAACUGUGUUGCUGAUGUAGUGUGAGAUUGGCAGAAUUCCAUUAACUCUGAUCAACAUUUCAUAUCCAUAUUUGUAGGAUGACGUGGCCUUAUCAUUCUGUUCACUAAUAUUCACCUUUUGAUGCUAAAUUUCUUAUUUAUCA